GGGGAAUAUUGCACAAUGGGGGAAACCCUGAUGCAGCGACGCCGCGUGGAGGAAGAAGGUCUUCGGAUUGUAAACUCCUGUUGUUGAGGAAGAUAAUGACGGUACUCAACAAGGAAGUGACGGCUAACUACGUGCCAGCAGCCGCGGUAAAACGUAGGUCACAAGCGUUGUCCGGAAUUACUGGGUGUAAAGGGAGCGCAGGCGGGAGAACAAGUUGGAAGUGAAAUCCAUGGGCUCAACCCAUGAACUGCUUUCAAAACUGUUUUUCUUGAGUAGUGCAGAGGUAGGCGGAAUUCCCGGUGUAGCGGUGGAAUGCGUAGAUAUCGGGUGGAACACCGGUGGCGAAGGCGGCCCUCUGGGCCGAGACCGACGCUGAGGCGCGAAAGCUGGGGGAGCGAACAGGAUUAGAUACCCUGGUAGUCCCAGCCGUAAACGAUGGACGCUAGGUGUGGGGGGACGAUCCCCCCGUGCCGCAGCCAACGCAUUAAGCGUCCCGCCUGGGGAGUACGGCCGCAAGGCUAAAACUCAAAGGAAUUGACGGGGGCCCGCACAAGCAGCGGAGCAUGUGGCUUAAUUCGAAGCAACGCGAAGAACCUUACCAGGUCUUGACAUCCAGCUAACGAAGUAGAGAUACAUUAGGUGCCCUUCGGGGAAAGCUGAGACAGGUGGUGCAUGGUUGUCGUCAGCUCGUGUCGUGAGAUGUUGGGUUAAGUCCCGCAACGAGCGCAACCCUUACUAUUAGUUGCUACGCAAGAGCACUCUAGCAGGACCGCCGUUGACAAAACGGAGGAAGGUGGGGAUGAUGUCAAAUCAUCAUGCCCCUUAUGACCUGGGCCUCACACGUACUACAAUGGCCGUAAACAGAGGGAAGCAAUACCGCGAGGUGGAGCAAAACCCUAAAAACGGUCCCAGUUCGGAUUGCAGGCUGCAACCCGCCUGCAUGAAGUUGGAAUUGCUAGUAAUCGCGGAUCAGCAUGCCGCGGUGAAUACGUUCCCG
Molecule: ribosomal RNA, 997 nt
Filed under: uncultured bacterium
Lineage: Bacteria
Description: bacterial SSU rRNA
Rfam family: Bacterial small subunit ribosomal RNA
Source: RNAcentral